This 65-nucleotide transfer RNA is filed under the name Dipodomys ordii (Ord's kangaroo rat). It matches the Rfam family "tRNA". From Rfam's summary of the family: Transfer RNA (tRNA) molecules are approximately 80 nucleotides in length. Their secondary structure includes four short double-helical elements and three loops (D, anti-codon, and T loops). Lineage: Eukaryota; Metazoa; Chordata; Mammalia; Rodentia; Heteromyidae. The record is from Rfam by way of RNAcentral.
GGUGGCUCAGUGGUAGAGCGCUUGCCUUGCGUGCAUGAAACCCUGGGUUCCAUUCCUCAGCACCA